This 62-nucleotide transfer RNA is filed under the name Propylea japonica. RNAcentral's name for it is "tRNA-Trp". Lineage: Eukaryota; Metazoa; Arthropoda; Insecta; Coleoptera; Coccinellidae. The record is from RNAcentral. RNAcentral also lists the same sequence under 1 other name.
AAGGAUUUAAGUUAAAUAAACUAUUAACCUUCAAAGUUAAAAAUAGAGUUGUCUAAGCCUUA